Long non-coding RNA from Pseudopipra pipra, 6795 nucleotides. RefSeq lists it as uncharacterized. The transcript is spliced from 10 exons. The record is from RefSeq and is a predicted model, not a curated record. Lineage: Eukaryota; Metazoa; Chordata; Aves; Passeriformes; Pipridae.
AGAUCCUGAAAAGAAGGCAGCACAGCAGCUUUUGGGGAGCCCAGCUGAAGGGGAAGGAAUUCUGUCUCCAGGGCCAUCCUUGGUUGUUCUUCAGUGGGUGUGAGCAGAUGCUGCCCAGGUUGCCACUGCAGAGCCUUCAGCUGCUGAGCUGCUUUCUGGCCCACUGGAAAUCAAUGGCACUGGAAUCCUUGGGAGCAAAUCAUCGGAUGGAACAUGGGAAAACUGCUCUUUGUAAGGAUGUGGAGAAAGUUUGGGGAGAACAACAGUAUUUAUUUACAGAUAACUGCCAAGAUUGACUGUUGGUUCCAUAUUAGCCCUGCCAAGUGUUGGUGUUUGGAGGGAUAAGGAUGUGGGUGAACUGUGCUGGAGUGGGAGAUGACUCUGCUUUGGGCUCUGUCCAGUGGGAUGCUGCCUUAUCCAGCAAUCAAGGUGGGAAGUCACAGGAAAUCCCUGGAGUGGGUAUGUGCUGGCUGGAAUCUCCAGGAAGGAGGAGCACGGAGCCCAGUUUAUUUCCAUAGGAAAUAAGAAUUCCCAUAUAAAGGUUUGGCAGGGAGAACUGCACACACACCUGGCCAUAAAUUCAAUCCCAUCAGAUGAAGUUGGUUUUUUGUUUUAAUUUACAAAUAUGUGCCUUUUUUUCUUCUCUUUCCUUUCUUUCUUUCUUUUUCCUCUUUUCUCACAUGAGAAAGUCUUCUUUGAGAAGGCUUUGUUUAACUCAGCACAAAGCUCUCCAGAUACUUGAUAUCCCGGCAUUUUUGUGAUAUUCUAGAACUCCAUUAAACUGUUUCAUUUAUUCCUGCAAGCCCAAGUGUGCAAAGCAAAUCCUUGGUUGGGGAUUUAUCCCCCCUUCCCCCAGUAUUGUGGGUUAACACAAAAGCCACAACUGAGCUCUGGGUCUGCCAAUUAUUGAAAGAUAAAAUAGCAAUUAGAGGGGGUGAAGAAGGAUGACAAACCUUUGACAUGUUAUCGUUCUUCCUGCUGGGAGAUGAUUAUCCAAAGGGAGCUGGAGCUGUGGGAAGCCACCCAGCCAUCCUUCAAAACAGGAAUUUUGUCACUCACUGCAGAUUCCAUUCCUUUCCUUGGCUGGGCUGUUUCAUUUAUUUCAAUUAAUGGGCGCACUUGAGCUGACAAGAUAUUCACUUGUUUCUCUAUUUUUUGCAUUUUACUGUAUUUUAGUGUCUGUGACUUGUCUCAGCAUUGAUAUUUCUCGCCAUGAUGUGUCUCCUAUGACAAGGAAGGUCACACAACUGGAGAUGCAUCAUCCAUCCUUCAGGGCACUGAGAGGUUCUCAGCCCCACCUCUCUGUCCCACUGCUGCUUGUCUGCCCAUCUGGAACACCCAAUUAACACCUGGGCUAAUUAACAGUGCUGGGGGGGCCUCUUCGGUUACCUGUUAUUGGUUUUGGCAGGGAUAAAUCACACUGAACACUACAGGAGUUGUGCUAGGCCAUGAUGGAAAACAUAAAAAAAUGCACUUGCAGAUUUUAAAUAUUCAUAAAACUUUUAAUACAAGAUUUUGUAUAGUGAAUAAAACUGAUAUUUUACUUCUUUGUAGAGCACCAACAGGGCACUGUGUACCUUGGGCUCAGUGCAGGGCCAGUGAUCAGCUCGUGGAGAAAUAGCUGAUUGGUAUUUUUUUAAGUUUGGUUGUUUGCUGGUUUUGACAGUGGAGUUUGGCCUUUUGGAACUGUCCAUUUGAAAUGUGUUGGUCUGUACAAAACUGCAGGUGAAAGACUGAGUGCAAUUAUUCCCCAUGGAUUAUCUCAGGGCAAAACACUUGGUCACUGAAGUCAGGGAUCCACAAACUGUUUGUAUGACCACAAACAGGAGCAUUUCUGAUUUACAGAGCAGUUCCUAAACCUGAAAAUAUAUGAUUUAAUUCCUAUACUAUUCCCACUUUCAUGCAGGAUCAGGUUUCCCCUUGUUGAAGAAUAUUUCUUUUCAGUUUAGGUCAGUUUUUAAUAGAAAAAAAAAAUUCCUUGUGCUGGGAGCUGCUUUAGAGAAGGAAAAUUGCCUUUCUCCUCAUCAACUUUUCCAAGCCUUUUGCAAAGAUGAAUUGGGGACUGUAUUUCAUUUUAACUAAUCACAUAUUAUUGCAGUUUUGUAGAGUAAAUACACAGAUGUCAGUGGCACUUCAGAAGUCGCAGUUUCAGGGUUCCUGAAAUCAUCUUGAAAAAAAAGAAAUGGAAAUUAUUUCUUAUUUCCCGCCCUGUGUUGCUUUGAAUGCAAAAUCUUGGCAGGGCAAGAGGCAAUAAAUCGAUUUUCAAGGAGUUCCAGUUAGGGAUUGUUGGGGUUUGGGUGUUUAGCAACCUGUCCUGACAGUGGUGCUUGGUCCAAAUGAUCCUCCUACCUCACCUUUUCCAGCUGUCCGUGAAUUAUCAUCAGGAAGAAGGUACAGAGCUGCAAAUGUCCAGACUGUGAGUUGAUCACAUGUAUCAUCUGCAUGCUCCUGAUCAGCCAAAAAUUAUGAAAAGCAAGAAGUGACCUGGGAAUUCAGUGGGUCAGGUUCCAAUGGCACAGACCUGACCCCAGUGUGUGUGGCUGGAACUGGGCAGGUAAAGCAGCAGACAGUGAUUUGAAAUGUAUUGAUACUUGUAUUUUUACCCCCCGGGGGGUAUUUUAAUGCAGCAGUAAUUUAAGGCUGAUGUAUUUUAAUCAAUGCCUUGAAGCAAUAGUUAAAGUCACAAAAUGGCUUCUGUUAAACUUCCCUGUUUUCAAACACCCAGAACUUCCACUGGCAGCACAGAUGGAUUUGAUCUAUACCCCAAGCAGAUUUCUUGGGGUUGGUUACUUAGUUUUAUGCGUUAUUUAAAAAAAAUAAACCACCUUGGCUUCCUUUGAGCCAUGGCCAUCAUAAAAACUGCACUUGGUAUUAUACUUUAUGAGGUAAAAUUGCAAAUUUGCUCUUCUUGGCUCUCCACGAGAGACCAGUGAAGUUUGAACCUGCAGAGCUGCCACAGAGCCACGUCCUGUCUGUAUUUUCACGUGUUUCAGCUGCCCCUCAGUGAGGACCUGCCAGGAUGAGGGUUUGAAGGUCUUGCUGCAGUUCAGACUCUCUCAUAAAGCAAUUUGCUAUUUUGACAACUUUGAAAGUGAUGCAGUUUUGCAUAUUCAACAUUUGGAGAGCUAAUCCAGUGGCUUUUAACAAAGGCAGGUGAUUGUUUCUCUUUUUUAGACCCAAAUGAGGUGGGAUGUGAGUAACUUCGGUGGUAAAUUAAUUGUAGGUGGUUUCUGCCUUUUUUGCAGUGGCUGAAGAGCCGAUUUCUCUUGUAGCUGAUUCUGGCAGGUUUGUUCCACUUAAUGGUAAAAAGGUCAAUUGCAUGAGAAUAAAAAGGAAGAAAAAAUCUAAAAUGACAUCUUUGAACUAGACAGGCAGUGAAAUUAAAAUUCUAAAUGGUUGAUAGGAGGCUUGGAAUGCCCCCUGAAUAGAAGACUAAACACAGUCACCUCCUUUAUGGAAGAAUCUUUUGUUGAAGGUUGGCUUUUCUAUCUUUUUGCUGAAUUUCCAUCAGCUAUUUUAUUGUCUAAUUACUACCAGAAAAAGUUAUUUAUUUCUUUUGUCUAACAGCCAUUUCUGCAAGUUCUGUGCCUGCCUUGACCACAGAAAAACCUCUUUUCUUCAUUUCAUUGCCUAUAUUAUAAAGCACACUCUGUGUCUAAUCCUUCUUUCCUUUACAUCUUGAUUUUAGCAAUAAAUGUUGCCUGAAAGUUUGGAUCUAAUUAUUGAAAUCACUUGGGAAUCUCCUACGUACAGAAAGAUGAUCAAAACUCUAAUUUUUAUUUAUAGUCUCAGUUCUAAUUAAUGCACAUCUUUGUCUGAGCAAAAUUAUCCCCUUUCUGAUAUUUUUUUUCCAUGCUUUAUGGUUUGGGAUCAUCUCUACGUUUCAUCAAUAUCCAGCUGGAUUUUUUCCUCCAGUUCAUUAAUAAAGAUAUUAAAUUGCACCAGCCAACAUAACAACAAACAUUGCUGGAUCUGUUCUUUCCCCUUGAGGUCUAUACCCUUUGUUUCCUUUACAGUCAAACAUUUCCAGUGUUUUCCUCCACGUUGAUCAGGUAUUGUCUUGCCAGAUUCCUUACUUUAAAAUUUCCUGGGUAUGAAAUUUUAGUCCAAUUAAAAGCAUCCUUCUCCUUCUUUCCCCUUUGCCCCAUCGAGUGAAUUUUUUUCCUCAUUUGUAUUUUUUGCAAAAUAAUUCAGUUUCAUCCAAAUGUUGAGUCUCUGCCAAACCCGAGAGGGACUUUAACUGGAACACAGCGGGGUUAGAGGUGGAGUAUCCAUGGAAACAAACUUCCCUGCAGAUGUUCAGAUAUUCCUCGGGCAUCCCAAGCACGGGUAGAACGUGGGGCUGGUUCUGUCUUUGAAGGUUCACACCUGACCAGCACAGCCUGAGCUCUGUGUAAUGGCAGAUCCCAGCUCCAACAGGUGCUUCAGAGUAAUUGUGCUGAAAUAAUGGAUCCACUUCCCUGGUAUUGCCUUUGUAAGGAAAAGCCUACAUUUUCUCAGUGUUUCAUUCUCUCAAGUUGCAUCCUUAGCUCCAUUCUCUCCCAUUUUGCUCUGCUUUUUAAGCAGCUCUGUUAAAUCCUUGCCUUAACCUUUAUAUCAUUCCCCUCUCCUUGAACCUGAGCCCAUCCACAGCCAGGACUGCAGCCAAACCCUGCCUGGCUCAGCCAAGCAGCUCCAGCCAGGAAUAUCAUCCAUGGGAUUAGAUGGGCGAACACAGGAGAAGUAACCAGAAUGCAACAGCUCAACACCCUUCUCCCAGUCCAGCCCUCAGGCCCUGGACAUUGAACUGGUCAAACAAACGGGCUCAGUUGGAUGUUGGGAAUGAAGGACAUCCCUGGACUUGGGUGAGAUCAAAGGAAAUGUCGACCACGAGCUGCCAGGGAGUGCUGCACCUUCCCAACCACUUGGGAAAUGAGUGGAAUUCCCUCCAGGAUGAACCAGGCCGGGAAUCGAGAUGGGAGGGAAACAACCCAUAUUUGAAAUUACUGCUGUAAAACAUCCCUGCCUGGAAUUCCAGUUUGGUCCAACGAGCAGGAAGGUGAUUCAGCUCUUUGCUUAUUGGACUUUGUCAGCUUUCCAUGGCUGAAGCAGAAUCUGAUGGAAUGACACAGCUCCCUGCCACCUGCAAAGCAGGGAUGGAUUUCUGAGAGGAACUGUCUUGCACUGGGAAACAUCUCUGAGAAGCUCCUGGGAUCUGCUGGGUGUUCCUGGAGAAGGGACACGAGGGGACUGUCCCUCCCUGGCCACUGCAGGGCUGUCUCCCAGAAGAUGGAGCUCUUUCCCCAGCACUGCUGAUGGAGACCUUAUCUGUAUCACAGGCCCAUAAGGCUGGGACAACUGGGACACAGGAAUGCUCCUUGUGAGGCACUUGGAAACGUGCAGUUGAGCCCUCAAACCCCUUGAUGCAUUUUUUAGACGUGUUUCAGGUAAGCCUUGUAGUGUUUUUAAGGUUGUCUGAGUUUGCCUCAUUUCUAAGGGAAAAAACCCUAGAGACCUGUAGAUAAAUGUGGGAUUGAGUGUCCACUUUGUUGCACAAAUGUACAGUAGUUGAUCUUGAGCAAAUAAUUCUCCAGCUCUCAGACUCUGAUAAUCUGUGGACCGAGUAUCUAAUGCUGCAAAUGUUGUUUGGAAACUUUUAAGCCCUGUCCUGUUAUGCAAGAAAUGAGAAGUGAACAUUUCUACACUUGCAGUUUGAGCUGUACUGAACUAAGUCUGUGGAAUGCAUUGUGAAAUGUAAAAAACCAACAAAACCGCAAAAAAACCACCCCAGAACCCCGAGUCUCAAUAAAGCUUCUAGACAGAACGUGCCCUGGGUACUUGGUGUCUGAGGCAGCUCUAACCCUCGGUGUUUGUUGGGGGUGGUGGGUGGCUCCAGGUGGUGCCAGCGUGUCCCUCGGCUCCUCCGGCUCCUCCUCUCCUGGCACUGGAACCAGCUCGGGCAGCUCCAGCUCCCUGUAAGUCUGAGGGGUCUUGGUUUCUUUGGGUUUUGACACAAUGUUUGGGGCCAUUUUCUGCUUGCAAGGGAAUUGUAAAGCAAGUCCCAGGAGUCUUUCCAGAUCAACUUGCUAUUCAGAUUUAAGAACUGGACAUGGAAAACUUGUAUCCAAAUUUAUUUGAGACAGAUUUUCCUUUAAUGGCAUCUUGACCGUUGAAAAUAUAAAGUCAUGCAUUAAUGUUUUAGUUUCCAGUUUAAUACAGCGUUCCUUGGAACACUUCAUACGUGAAGCCAGAGCAGAGAAACAGAGACUGUGUUUCCUGACACACACUAUUGCUUUAAGGUACUUUUCACAUCACUUGAUUAAUUAAUUAAUGAAUUCUGCCACACAACUGCAGUUAUUUGGGACACAAUCACUGUGGAAGGAAGGCAGAGAUGAUUGAUUAGAGCACAGCAGAGGAGCUCACUGAUGUCACCACGUGACAGAACAGGAUGGGAUCCCAGAGGUUUCCCUAAAAACAGACUGCACAGGGACUGCUCUGUGUGUGCCCAACUGCUCUGCUGGGCAGUCAUAUAAGGCAUUAAUAAAUUCAGCUGUAAAAAAAGGUGAUUUUUGAGGUUGCUGAAGCACUUUGUGUGUUAAACAAGCAGGAAUCCACUCCUUUAACGGGAUGUUUUCGCUACUUUUCCAUGCAGUGGCAGCAGAGUGGCCUGGCAGGAAGGUUCCAGAGCUCAGCCCCUGUUGUCCUGAACUGGGACUAAAGCACUAUUUAGCAUUGCUUUGCAAAGACUAAAUCCCUGGAUUGAACAGCACAGGAUUGGACCAAAGCAGCUCCAUCGAACACCCAGCGGGAGGGAGA